CUUGAACUCUGACCUCAAAUCAGGUAGGACUACCCGCUGAACUUAAGCAUAUCAAUAAGCGGAGG
RNAcentral lists this small RNA (65 nucleotides) under Cutaneotrichosporon cyanovorans. RNAcentral describes it as "partial 26S ribosomal RNA". The stretch from base 10 to 65 matches the Rfam family "Eukaryotic large subunit ribosomal RNA", at positions 1 to 56 of the family's 3401-position model. The record is from RNAcentral. Lineage: Eukaryota; Fungi; Basidiomycota; Tremellomycetes; Trichosporonales; Trichosporonaceae.